This 1054-nucleotide long non-coding RNA is filed under the name Nicotiana tabacum (common tobacco). RNAcentral's name for it is "long non-coding RNA (NTAB_LNC017869)". The record is from RNAcentral. Lineage: Eukaryota; Viridiplantae; Streptophyta; Magnoliopsida; Solanales; Solanaceae.
UUUAACUGACUUUGGAAUGACCCAUGUAAGCCUAAGUAAGCUUCGGAACAUGUCCCAGAUUCUUAGGCCAAGCAUGGGAGAUAGGACUAUAGUGUAAAUGCAGUUCCAGAAAACACAAAGGAAUCUGCCUUGUUGACAUUAAUCAACAAGAAUUACAAGUCAAUACAGAAUAAUUGAAGCAUGCAGUAAUACUAUGUACAACUACUAAUCUGAAUUCUUAAAGGUAAUGGAAGUCCAAUGAACCUCAAGCUAAAAAGAGCGGACAAGUUUCCACAGCUGUACUUCUGUCUAAAUUAACUUAUCACCUCAAGAUUAUAUGAGGAAACCACAAUAAAGAUAUGAUCAAAAAGUGAAAGCAAUGACAAGUUAAGCAUAAAGGGAAAUCAAUGUUAUCUGAUCCAUAUGGCAGUUAUUGUUAUGUCAAAAAUUCUUGUUAGAAAACAUUUUAUUACUGAUCGAAUAGUGUAGAAAAAGUUACAGAGGAUUGCAUAGCUUACCCCCAAGUAUAUUGGUAAUGAGGCCUAGUUAAUUGGAUUGAUUGAUUACAAUAUAAUCGAUUGUAAUGACGCCAAUAGUAUUAGAAAGCACUCCGGUGUAUAAUUUCCAUAACUACUAAACAAGACCAUUGUGAUAAAGAUACAAUUUUUACACUGACCAUAGUCACAAUUUUUACACUAGUUUUUCACCUAAAUUCUAGUCGUAAUUGGAAUGGCCAUAAAUUGACAAAAAUUAAUAACAAAAAGUGAACUUUACAAGAAACCAGUAAUAGUUUCAGUAACCUUGUUGAUGCGUAUGGCACGAAUAGCCUCUUUAUCGGAAGUGGAAGUAGAAGUGCCGGAAUUGGACCUACGGUUGCGGCCGCCGGCUCUACCGGUAACUGCAGCUGCAGUGGCGGCAGAAGAAGAAGAAGAAGAGCAGCAACGAACAAUGAAGAAAGGAGAAGGGGGUCGAAAUCUAUGAGACCUAAAAGAAGCAAAGUGGAUAAGUUGCUUCAACGGCUGCAGGGCUUCCAUUGUUGCACUUCUCUUCUUGUUCCCCCCAGAAAGCACUAUUU